Molecule: transfer RNA, 73 nt
Filed under: bacterium
Lineage: Bacteria
Also listed under: 4 other names
Description: tRNA-Gly
Rfam family: tRNA
About the family: Transfer RNA (tRNA) molecules are approximately 80 nucleotides in length. Their secondary structure includes four short double-helical elements and three loops (D, anti-codon, and T loops).
Source: RNAcentral
GCGGGAGUAGCUCAUCUGGUAGAGCGACAGCCUUCCAAGCUGUAGGUGGCCGGUUCGAGCCCGGUUUCCCGCU